AACCAUAGAAACCUGCGGAGUACCUGCGGAGGGAUCAUUAACAAGAUCGAACCAAAAAAUAUGGACGAUCAAAUCCAUAUCCACCUUGUGUGCACUGAUUGACCGUUCGCUUUGGCAGGAGUUGUCUUGGAUCCCGGCCCCUAACCCUAAGUAAUUCUGAGGGGGAGGGGAGGAAUCUAAGCGCGAGGUUGGGAGGAACCCUCCCGCACCUCGGCCUGCCAGAGUUUUUCAAGAUCCACA
RNAcentral lists this unclassified non-coding RNA (240 nucleotides) under soil metagenome. RNAcentral's name for it is "partial contains 5.8S ribosomal RNA, internal transcribed spacer 2, and large subunit ribosomal RNA". The record is from RNAcentral.